UGAGUAGCAAUACGAAUUAAGUUUAGUGGCGGACGGGUGAGUAACGCGUGAGCAACCUGCCUUUCAAAGCGGGAUAACGACUGGAAACGGUCGCUAAUACCGCAUGACGUAUACGAGUCGCAUGUCUUGUAUACCAAAAGGGAAACCUGAUGAAAGAUGGGCUCGCGUCUGAUUAGAUAGUUGGUGAGGUAACGGCUCACCAAGUCUGCGAUCAGUAGCCGGACUGAGAGGUCGAACGGCCACAUUGGAACUGAGAUACGGUCCAGACUCC
Molecule: ribosomal RNA, 271 nt
Filed under: uncultured Eubacteriales bacterium
Lineage: Bacteria; Bacillati; Bacillota; Clostridia; Eubacteriales
Description: uncultured Clostridiales bacterium partial 16S ribosomal RNA
Rfam family: Bacterial small subunit ribosomal RNA
Source: RNAcentral